This is a non-coding RNA of Podarcis lilfordi (Lilford's wall lizard), 71 nucleotides long. Lineage: Eukaryota; Metazoa; Chordata; Lepidosauria; Squamata; Lacertidae. The record is from the annotation of a GenBank genome assembly.
GACCCAUAGUUCAGUGACAGAGCAUCUGCUUUGCAUGCAGAAGGUCCCAAGUUCGAUACCCAGCAGCAUCU